CGCGUAGGCGGCCGUGUAAGUCACUUGUGAAAUCCCGGGGCUCAACUCCGGGGCUGCAGGUGAGACUGCAUGGCUAGAGCUUGGUAGAGGCGAGUGGAAUUCCCGGUGUAGCGGUGGAAUGCGUAGAUAUCGGGAAGAACACCGGUGGCGAAGGCGGCUCGCUGGGCCAAUGCUGACGCUGAGGCGCGAAGCGUGGGAGCAAACA
RNAcentral lists this ribosomal RNA (205 nucleotides) under uncultured bacterium. RNAcentral describes it as "partial 16S ribosomal RNA". It matches the Rfam family "Bacterial small subunit ribosomal RNA", at positions 568 to 774 of the family's 1533-position model. The record is from RNAcentral.